UGGGCAAUCUGCCCUGCACUCUGGGACAAGCCCUGGAAACGGGGUCUAAUACCGGAUACUGACCCUCGCAGGCAUCUGCGAGGUUCGAAAGCUCCGGCGGUGCAGGAUGAGCCCGCGGCCUAUCAGCUUGUUGGUGAGGUAAUGGCUCACCAAGGCGACGACGGGUAGCCGGCCUGAGAGGGCGACCGGCCACACUGGGACUGAGACACGGCCCAGACUCCUACGGGAGGCAGCAGUGGGGAAUAUUGCACAAUGGGCGAAAGCCUGAUGCAGCGACGCCGCGUGAGGGAUGACGGCCUUCGGGUUGUAAACCUCUUUCAGCAGGGAAGAAGCGAAAGUGACGGUACCUGCAGAAGAAGCGCCGGCUAACUACGUGCCAG
This 380-nucleotide ribosomal RNA is filed under the name Streptomyces tendae. Its description in RNAcentral is "bacterial SSU rRNA". It matches the Rfam family "Bacterial small subunit ribosomal RNA", at positions 118 to 511 of the family's 1533-position model. Lineage: Bacteria; Bacillati; Actinomycetota; Actinomycetes; Kitasatosporales; Streptomycetaceae. The record is from RNAcentral.